This 1120-nucleotide non-coding RNA is filed under the name Boudabousia liubingyangii. RNAcentral describes it as "Actinomyces liubingyangii Bacterial small subunit ribosomal RNA". It matches the Rfam family "Bacterial small subunit ribosomal RNA", at positions 1 to 1124 of the family's 1533-position model. The record is from Rfam by way of RNAcentral. Lineage: Bacteria; Bacillati; Actinomycetota; Actinomycetes; Actinomycetales; Actinomycetaceae.
UGUUCGGAGAGUUUGAUCCUGGCUCAGGACGAACGCUGGCGGCGUGCUUAACACAUGCAAGUCGAACGAUGAAGCGGUGCUUGCACCGUGGAUUAGUGGCGAACGGGUGAGUAACACGUGAGUAACCUGCCCCCUUCUUUGGGAUAAGCAUUGGAAACGGUGUCUAAUACUGAAUAUUCACACAUGGGCGCAUGUUUGUGUGUGGAAAGUUUUUCGGUGGGGGAUGGGCUCGCGGCCUAUCAGCUUGUUGGUGGGGUGAUGGCCUACCAAGGCUUUGACGGGUAGCCGGCCUGAGAGGGUGACCGGUCACACUGGGACUGAGAUACGGCCCAGACUCCUACGGGAGGCAGCAGUGGGGAAUAUUGCACAAUGGGCGAAAGCCUGAUGCAGCGACGCCGCGUGAGGGAUGACGGCCUUCGGGUUGUAAACCUCUUUCAGUAAGGACGCAGGGGCAUCUUUGGGUGUUUUGACGGUACUUGCAGAAGAAGCGCCGGCUAACUACGUGCCAGCAGCCGCGGUAAUACGUAGGGCGCAAGCGUUGUCCGGAAUUAUUGGGCGUAAAGAGCUUGUAGGCGGUUUGUCGCGUCUGUCGUGAAAUCCAGCAGCUUAACUGUUGGCUUGCGGUGGGUACGGGCAGACUAGAGUGUGGUAGGGGAGACUGGAAUUCCUGGUGUAGCGGUGGAAUGCGCAGAUAUCAGGAGGAACACCGAUGGCGAAGGCAGGUCUCUGGGCCAUUACUGACGCUGAGAAGCGAAAGCGUGGGGAGCGAACAGGAUUAGAUACCCUGGUAGUCCACGCCGUAAACGUUGGGCACUAGGUGUGGGGGGCUUUUUGGUCUUCUGCGCCGUAGCUAACGCAUUAAGUGCCCCGCCUGGGGAGUACGGCCGCAAGGCUAAAACUCAAAGGAAUUGACGGGGGCCCGCACAAGCGGCGGAGCAUGCGGAUUAAUUCGAUGCAACGCGAAGAACCUUACCAAGGCUUGACAUGCACUGGAACACUGCAGAGAUGUGGUGGUCUUCGGACUGGUGUACAGGUGGUGCAUGGUUGUCGUCAGCUCGUGUCGUGAGAUGUUGGGUUAAGUCCCGCAACGAGCGCAACCCUUGUCUCGUGUUGCCAGCAC